GUUUGAUCCUGGCUCAGAUUGAACGCUGGCGGCAUGGUUAAAACAUGCAAGUCGAACGAUCCCUUCGGGGAGAGUGGCGAAAGGGCGAGGAAUAUAAUCGAAUGUACCCCAAGGUAGAGGAUAGCUUCUGGAAACGGGAGGUAAUACUCUAUGUGCUCUACGGAGGAAAGGUUUACCGCCUUGGGAGCGGCGAUUAUCCUAUCAGGUAGUUGGUGAGGUAAAGGCUCACCAAGCCGAAGACGGGUAGC
Molecule: ribosomal RNA, 248 nt
Filed under: Alexandrium margalefii
Lineage: Eukaryota; Dinophyceae; Gonyaulacales; Pyrocystaceae
Description: partial Bacterial small subunit ribosomal RNA
Rfam family: Bacterial small subunit ribosomal RNA
Source: RNAcentral